UAGCUCGGUGGUAGAGCGGUCGGCUGUUAACUGACUGGUCGUAGGUUCGAAUCCUGCCACC
Molecule: transfer RNA, 61 nt
Filed under: Tamarindus indica
Lineage: Eukaryota; Viridiplantae; Streptophyta; Magnoliopsida; Fabales; Fabaceae
Description: tRNA-Asn
Rfam family: tRNA
About the family: Transfer RNA (tRNA) molecules are approximately 80 nucleotides in length. Their secondary structure includes four short double-helical elements and three loops (D, anti-codon, and T loops).
Source: RNAcentral